UACGUAGGUGGCAAGCGUUGUCCGGAUUUAUUGGGCGUAAAGGGAGCGCAGGUGGUUUCUUAAGUCUGAUGUGAAAGCCCACGGCUUAACCGUGGAGGGUCAUUGGAAACUGGGGAACUUGAGUGCAGAAGAGGAAGGUGGAAUUCCAAGUGUAGCGGUGGAAUGCGUAGAUAUUUGGAGGAACACCAGUGGCGAAGGCGACUUUCUGGUCUGUAACUGACACUGAGGCUCGAAAGCGUGGGGAGCGAACAGGAUUAGAUACCCUGGUAGUCCCUGA
RNAcentral lists this ribosomal RNA (277 nucleotides) under uncultured prokaryote. RNAcentral's name for it is "partial 16S ribosomal RNA". It matches the Rfam family "Bacterial small subunit ribosomal RNA", at positions 524 to 800 of the family's 1533-position model. The record is from RNAcentral.